UUUUAUGAGAGUUUGAUCCUGGCUCAGGACGAACGCUGGCGGCGUGCCUAAUACAUGCAAGUCGAACGCUUCUUUUUCCACCGGAGCUUGCUCCACCGGAAAAAGAAGAGUGGCGAACGGGUGAGUAACACGUGGGUAACCUGCCCAUCAGAAGGGGAUAACACUUGGAAACAGGUGCUAAUACCGUAUAACAAUCAAAACCGCAUGGUUUUGAUUUGAAAGGCGCUUUCGGGUGUCGCUGAUGGAUGGACCCGCGGUGCAUUAGCUAGUUGGUGAGGUAACGGCUCACCAAGGCCACGAUGCAUAGCCGACCUGAGAGGGUGAUCGGCCACAUUGGGACUGAGACACGGCCCAAACUCCUACGGGAGGCAGCAGUAGGGAAUCUUCGGCAAUGGACGAAAGUCUGACCGAGCAACGCCGCGUGAGUGAAGAAGGUUUUCGGAUCGUAAAACUCUGUUGUUAGAGAAGAACAAGGAUGAGAGUAACUGUUCAUCCCUUGACGGUAUCUAACCAGAAAGCCACGGCUAACUACGUGCCAGCAGCCGCGGUAAUACGUAGGUGGCAAGCGUUGUCCGGAUUUAUUGGGCGUAAAGCGAGCGCAGGCGGUUUCUUAAGUCUGAUGUGAAAGCCCCCGGCUCAACCGGGGAGGGUCAUUGGAAACUGGGAGACUUGAGUGCAGAAGAGGAGAGUGGAAUUCCAUGUGUAGCGGUGAAAUGCGUAGAUAUAUGGAGGAACACCAGUGGCGAAGGCGGCUCUCUGGUCUGUAACUGACGCUGAGGCUCGAAAGCGUGGGGAGCAAACAGGAUUAGAUACCCUGGUAGUCCACGCCGUAAACGAUGAGUGCUAAGUGUUGGAGGGUUUCCGCCCUUCAGUGCUGCAGCUAACGCAUUAAGCACUCCGCCUGGGGAGUACGACCGCAAGGUUGAAACUCAAAGGAAUUGACGGGGGCCCGCACAAGCGGUGGAGCAUGUGGUUUAAUUCGAAGCAACGCGAAGAACCUUACCAGGUCUUGACAUCCUUUGACCACUCUAGAGAUAGAGCUUCCCCUUCGGGGGCAAAGUGACAGGUGGUGCAUGGUUGUCGUCAGCUCGUGUCGUGAGAUGUUGGGUUAAGUCCCGCAACGAGCGCAACCCUUAUUG
Molecule: ribosomal RNA, 1139 nt
Filed under: Enterococcus faecium
Lineage: Bacteria; Bacillati; Bacillota; Bacilli; Lactobacillales; Enterococcaceae
Description: bacterial SSU rRNA
Rfam family: Bacterial small subunit ribosomal RNA
Source: RNAcentral